This 33-nucleotide ribosomal RNA is filed under the name Pimelea sp. 'Te mata'. RNAcentral describes it as "partial 5.8S ribosomal RNA". Lineage: Eukaryota; Viridiplantae; Streptophyta; Magnoliopsida; Malvales; Thymelaeaceae. The record is from RNAcentral.
GCAACGGAUAUCUUGGCUCUCGCAUCGAUGAAG